UACAGGGGGUGCAAACGUUGCUCGGAAUUAUUGGGCGUAAAGCGCGCGUAGGCGGUCUUGUAAGUCGGAUGUGAAAGCCCUUGGCUUAACCGAGGAAGUGCAUCCGAAACUGCAAGGCUUGAGUACGAAAGAGGAUCGCGGAAUUCCCGGUGUAGAGGUGAAAUUCGUAGAUAACGGGAGGAACACCGGCGGCGAAGGCGGCGAUCUGGGUCGAGACUGACGCUGAGGCGCGAAAGCGUGGGGAGCAAACAGG
RNAcentral lists this ribosomal RNA (253 nucleotides) under uncultured bacterium. Its description in RNAcentral is "partial 16S ribosomal RNA". It matches the Rfam family "Bacterial small subunit ribosomal RNA", at positions 524 to 776 of the family's 1533-position model. The record is from RNAcentral.